GGUGGGGUUCCCGAGCGGCCAAAGGGAGCAUACUGUAAAUCUGCCGUCAUCGACUUCGAAGGUUCGAAUCCUUCCCCCACCACCA
RNAcentral lists this transfer RNA (85 nucleotides) under Escherichia coli. Its description in RNAcentral is "tRNA-Tyr". It matches the Rfam family "tRNA". From Rfam's summary of the family: Transfer RNA (tRNA) molecules are approximately 80 nucleotides in length. Their secondary structure includes four short double-helical elements and three loops (D, anti-codon, and T loops). Further hydrogen bonds mediate the characteristic L-shaped molecular structure. tRNAs have two regions of fundamental functional importance: the anti-codon, which is responsible for specific mRNA codon recognition, and the 3' end, to which the tRNAs corresponding amino acid is attached (by aminoacyl-tRNA synthetases). tRNAs cope with the degeneracy of the genetic code in two manners: having more than one tRNA (with a specific anti-codon) for a particular amino acid; and 'wobble' base-pairing, i.e. permitting non-standard base-pairing at the 3rd anti-codon position. The record is from RNAcentral. Lineage: Bacteria; Pseudomonadati; Pseudomonadota; Gammaproteobacteria; Enterobacterales; Enterobacteriaceae. RNAcentral also lists the same sequence under 1 other name.